RNAcentral lists this ribosomal RNA (440 nucleotides) under uncultured bacterium. RNAcentral's name for it is "partial 16S ribosomal RNA". It matches the Rfam family "Bacterial small subunit ribosomal RNA", at positions 338 to 795 of the family's 1533-position model. The record is from RNAcentral.
CCUACGGGCGGCAGCAGUGGGGAAUAUUGCACAAUGGGGGAAACCCUGAUGCAGCGCCGCCGCGUGAGUGAAGAAGUAAUUCGUUAUGUAAAGCUCUAUCAGCAGGGAAGAAAAUGACGGUACCUGACUAAGAAGCCCCGGCUAACUACGUGACAGCAGCCGCGGUAAUACGUAGGGGGCAAGCGUUAUCCGGAUUUACUGGGUGUAAAGGGAGCGUAGACGGCUGUGCAAGCCAGAUGUGAAAGCCCGGGGCUCAACCCCGGGACUGCAGUUGGAACUGUGUGGCUGGAGUGUCGGAGAGGCAGGAGGAAUUCCUAGUGUAGCGGUGAAAUGCGUAGAUAGUAGGAGGAACACCAGUGGCGAAGGCGGCCUGCUGGACGAUGACUGACGUUGAGGCUCGAAAGCGUGGGGAGCAAACAGGAUUAGAUACCCCUGUAGUC